Molecule: ribosomal RNA, 702 nt
Filed under: Staphylococcus aureus
Lineage: Bacteria; Bacillati; Bacillota; Bacilli; Caryophanales; Staphylococcaceae
Description: partial 23S ribosomal RNA
Rfam family: Bacterial large subunit ribosomal RNA
Source: RNAcentral
UAAGGGCGCACGGUGGAUGCCUUGGCACUAGAAGCCGAUGAAGGACGUUACUAACGACGAUAUGCUUUGGGGAGCUGUAAGUAAGCUUUGAUCCAGAGAUUUCCGAAUGGGGAAACCCAGCAUGAGUUAUGUCAUGUUAUCGAUAUGUGAAUACAUAGCAUAUCAGAAGGCACACCCGGAGAACUGAAACAUCUUAGUACCCGGAGGAAGAGAAAGAAAAUUCGAUUCCCUUAGUAGCGGCGAGCGAAACGGGAAGAGCCCAAACCAACAAGCUUGCUUGUUGGGGUUGUAGGACACUCUAUACGGAGUUACAAAGGACGACAUUAGACGAAUCAUCUGGAAAGAUGAAUCAAAGAAGGUAAUAAUCCUGUAGUCGAAAAUGUUGUCUCUCUUGAGUGGAUCCUGAGUACGACGGAGCACGUGAAAUUCCGUCGGAAUCUGGGAGGACCAUCUCCUAAGGCUAAAUACUCUCUAGUGACCGAUAGUGAACCAGUACCGUGAGGGAAAGGUGAAAAGCACCCCGGAAGGGGAGUGAAAUAGAACCUGAAACCGUGUGCUUACAAGUAGUCAGAGCCCGUUAAUGGGUGAUGGCGUGCCUUUUGUAGAAUGAACCGGCGAGUUACGAUUUGAUGCAAGGUUAAGCAGUAAAUGUGGAGCCGUAGCGAAAGCGAGUCUGAAUAGGGCGUUUAGUAUUUGGUCGUA